This 500-nucleotide ribosomal RNA is filed under the name uncultured bacterium. RNAcentral's name for it is "partial 16S ribosomal RNA". It matches the Rfam family "Bacterial small subunit ribosomal RNA", at positions 30 to 523 of the family's 1533-position model. The record is from RNAcentral.
AUUGAACGCUGGCGGAAUGCUUUACACAUGCAAGUCGAACGGCAGCACGAACUUCGGUCUGGUGGCGAGUGGCGAACGGGUGAGUAACAUAUCGGAACGUAUCCAAUAAUGGGGGAUAACGAGUCGAAAGAUUCGCUAAUACCGCAUACGCCCUACGGGGGAAAGCUGGGGACCUUCGGGCCUGGCGUUAAUGGAGCGGCCGAUAUCCGAUUAGCUAGUUGGUGAGGUAAAGGCUCACCAAGGCGACGAUCAGUAGCUGGUCUGAGAGGACGACCAGCCACACUGGAACUGAGACACGGUCCAGACUCCUACGGGAGGCAGCAGUGGGGAAUUUUGGACAAUGGGCGCAAGCCUGAUCCAGCCAUUCCGCGUGAGUGAAGAAGGCCUUCGGGUUGUAAAGCUCUUUCGCAAGGGAAGAAAACUUAGCCACUAACAUUGGUUGAGGUUGACGGUACCUUGAUAAGAAGCACCGGCUAACUACGUGCCAGCAGCCGCAGUAA